Molecule: ribosomal RNA, 2184 nt
Filed under: hot springs metagenome
Description: bacterial LSU rRNA
Rfam family: Bacterial large subunit ribosomal RNA
Source: RNAcentral
CAAAGUUGUGUAGUGCGAUCGGUGGAUGCCUUGGCACCAAGAGCCGAUGAAGGACGUUGUGACCUGCGAUAAGCCCUGGGGAGUUGGUGAGCGAGCUGUGAUCCGGGGGUGUCCGAAUGGGGAAACCUGGAAUGUCCGGAGUAGUGUCCGGUGGCCCUGCCCUGAAUGUAUAGGGGUGUGGGUGGUAACGCGGGGAAGUGAAACAUCUUAGUACCCGUAGGAAGAGAAAACAAGUGUGAUUCCGUGAGUAGUGGCGAGCGAAAGCGGAGGAGGCUAAACCGUGUGUGUGUUCAAGCCGGCAGGUGUUGCAUGUGCGGGGUUGUGGGGGCCUUGUGGUUCUGCUGCCGCAGGAUUGGCCAGUGAGAAAUGUUGCGUGAAGGUGAAGCGUCUGGGAAGGCGUACCGGAGUGGGUGAGAGUCCUGUAACUGUAAGCGUGGCACUGGUGUGGGGUUGCCCCGAGUAGCGUGGGACUCGUGGAAUUUCGCGUGAAUCUGGCGGGACCACCCGUCAAGCCUAAAUACUCCUUGGUGACCGAUAGUGGAUGAGUACCGUGAGGGAAGGGUGAAAAGUACCCCGGGAGGGGAGUGAAAGAGUUCCUGAAACCGGUCGCAUGCAAGCCGUCAGAGCCUGUGUGGUGAUGGCGUGCCUUUUGAAGAAUGAGCCUGCGAGUUAGUGAUGCGUGGCGAGGUUAACCCGUGGUGGGGGAGUCGUAGCGAAAGCGAGUCCGAUAAGGGCGUGAGUCGCGUGUUCUAGACCCGAAGCGGUGUGAUCUAUCCAUGGCCAGGAUGAAGCGUCGGUAAGACGUCGUGGAGGUCCGAACCCACUUCAGUUAAAAAUGGAGGGGAUGAGUUGUGGAUAGGGGUGAAAGGCCAAUCAAACACCGUGAUAGCUGGUUCUCCCCGAAAUGCAUUUAGGUGCAGCGUUGCGUGGUUCUUGUUGGAGGUAGAGCACUGGAUGGUCUAGGGGGCUUAUCGGCUUACCGAAAUCAGCCAAACUCCGAAUGCUGGCAAGUGUAGCGUGGCAGUGAGACGGCGGGGGAUAAGCUUCGUCGUCGAGAGGGAAACAGCCCAGAUCAUCAGCUAAGGCCCCUAAGUGGUGACUCAGUGGGAAAGGAUGUGGAGUUGCGUAGACAACCAGGAGGUUGGCUUGGAAGCAGCCAUCCUUGAAAGAGUGCGUAAUAGCUCACUGGUCAAGUGAUUCCGCGCCGAUAAUGUAGCGGGGCUUAAGUUAUCCGCCGAAGCUGUGGCAACCUGUGUGGUUGGGUAGGGGAGCGUCGUGUCAGUGGUGAAGCUGCCGGGUGACUGUGUGGUGGAGUUGAUGCGAGUGAGAAUGCAGGCAUGAGUAGCGUGUGACGGGUGGGAAUCCCGUCCGCCGAUUAUCCAAGGGUUCCAGGGUCAAGUUUGUCUGCCCUGGGUGAGUCGGGUCCUAAGGCGAGGCCGACAGGCGUAGUCGAUGGGUAACCAGUUGAUAUUCUGGUACCGGCUUGUCACCGUCCGUGUCGAGGUGUGUGAUGCUAAGCAUGUGAGCUUGUCUUGGGAGUGUUUUUGAUGCUUCUGGGGUGGGUGAGUGUGUGAACCGAUCAUGUAGUAGGCAAGCUGCGGAGGGACGCAGUGAGGUAGCUCAUCCCCGGUGAUGGUUGUCCGGGGCUAAGUGUGUGGACUGUCUGGUAGGUAAAUCCGCUGGGCGUGAAGGUUGAGGCAUGAUGGGGAGCCCAUGGUUGUGGGUGAGUGAGUGAUCCUGUACUGUCGAGAAAAGCUUCGUGAGCGAGGUGGCGGGUCCGCCCGUACCCUAAACCGACACUGGUGGAUAGGUAGAGUAUACCGAGGCGAUCGAGUGAAUCGUGGUGAAGGAACUCGGCAAAAUGCCCCCGUAACUUUGGGAUAAGGGGGACCUGAGCUGUCGUGCACCCGUGCGGUGUGGUGGCGGUGAGGGGCGCAGAGUCCAGGGGGAAACGACUGUUUACCAAAAACACAGGUCCGUGCGAAGUCGUAAGACGAUGUAUACGGACUGACUCCUGCCCGGUGCUGGAAGGUUAAGAGGACCUGUUAGGCCACUUCGUGGCCGAAGCGGAGAAUUUAAGCCCCAGUAAACGGCGGUGGUAACUAUAACCAUCCUAAGGUAGCGAAAUUCCUUGUCGGGUAAGUUCCGACCUGCACGAAUGGCGUAACGACUUCUCCACUGUCU